Molecule: long non-coding RNA, 659 nt
Organism: Bos taurus (domestic cattle)
Lineage: Eukaryota; Metazoa; Chordata; Mammalia; Artiodactyla; Bovidae
Source: Ensembl
GUAAGACAAAUCAUUACUGCAUUCUUAUUUUUCAUUUUUGCUACUUCUCUGUCUUCCAUAACCUAUGAUAUUCUUUGAUCUCUAAAUGUUAGGGAUUUUAACUGAUUUUGUUUUUCUUAAAAUUUCUUUCUUGAUGAUAGUUCUCAGGCAGCCCAAGUGGGGCCUGUUUAGGGCAAAUUGAGACAGCAAACCCUAAAAGGGGGGGGUCAAGGAAAGUUGAAGUCUGAGGAGAUUCUAUUAAUUCUAUUUUCAAGGUCUUUUCAGGCUGUUUAGGUUCUGGGUGUUGACUCCUAUUGCAGCUGGCUGGAAUGACGGAGCAUCUCCUGACAGGGUUCCACUUCAGCAGAAGCCACCGCUCAUAAAUUCCUCUUACGACCUUCCAGAAUUAUCCAAUGGAGAGUACUGAGUUCUUGCGGCAACUCACAUUUGGUUGGGAACACGUUAAGAAGGCAUUUGUCUGCCUAAUGACCUGCAAGCAGGAAGGAUAUUCUGUGACCUUACUUUGUUCUGUUGACCUUCCCUGGGGACGCCUCACCCGAGGACAGUGGGCGCAGAGGGUGCUGCAGAAGCUGUAUCACCUUCAUUCUCUGCUAGCUUCAUGGUCUACAUGGGACAGCCCUUCAGUCUAUUAUUUUACAGUUGUAUUUGUGCCACGGGUA